GUUUUUUUUUUUUUUUUUUUUUGCGGAAACAUUAUGCUUUCAAACAACACAAAACGCAAACGGUAUUACUGACACUAAUUUAUGUCUUUUGAUUUUUAAAAUAAUAAUUUACGGCAAUUUUAGAAAAACGGAUUGAAACGACGACCAACGCGUUUUACGCGAUUUCACGUAACCGACCAACGAACACGUCAAAAAUCAACUACCGGCGUACCUUUGACAUGAUUUCGAUUUUAAAAUAUACGUUAUUAUAUUUUACGGACCUCGGGUGCGAAAACGGUUAGUAGGAAUUAACGGGCCACAUAAAACACCCAAUUGGGCUUGUGGGCCUUGGGCCCAAGCCCAAAGCCCAUUAACUAAAACCCUAACUAUAUAAGUGUUGUGAUAACCUUAUCUUCAUUUCAUUUGAAACCAGACAAACAUAAACACACGCACCCAUCCUGCUCCUCACUUUCCCAAACCCAAGUUCCUUGUCUGCAACUUAUAAUCACACACACCAAAACAACACCCUCUCAUUUUACUCUGGUGCCACACAAGACCGAAGCCAGUUAAUCGGGCGGCUCCCGGUGGUCCUCUUCAACGAGCAGCCCCCUUUUUUUUUUCUUUCGAGUGACAAAACGGAUCACCACCACCACCAUCAUCCGGUGGUGGUGCGGCGGCUACGAAACAGGAGAGAGAGACUGAGAAGAGAGACAAUCAGAGACAGAGAAGCAGCGCCGCCGCUCACGACGGCGACAGUGGAGACGACGACGGUGAAUUGCUUCUUGUCGACGGGUUUCCGGAUGACGACAGCGGAGAACCGCCAGCGGCGGUGCUGGGCCGGCCGACGGAAGCACCUGUGAUGGUGGUUAUCUCUUGUUCCAGAUUCGGGUUUGUUUCAAGUCAUGGUUUGAGUUUGGUCCGGGUCACAGCCGUGGUUUGGAUUAGGCUCGGGUUGGGUUCGGCUCAGUCAACAACUCAACAUAUUCGGUCAAGUUUUGGAGCGGUUUGUUCGGGUCAGACUUGAGAAGGUUUGAGUUAGUUUAGUCACGAGUCGGUUUCGGUUCGAGAGCUUUGGUUCCACUUGGGUUCGGAUAUUAUUUUCGGGUUAGCUUCGGUUCUGUCAACCACAAGUCAGCAGUUCGAGUUACGGUACAUAUUUGGUUCAAUCAAAGCUGGCCAACGGCUCGGGUCAACGGGUCAGACCUGGUGCGGUUCGGGUUCAUGUCAGCGGGUUCGAGUAAGGCGGUCAACAAGGUCAGACGGUUCGGUCCAGUUGACUCGGUCAACUCAGUCGACGUAUCGGCACACGGAGAGCGGAAUGCUAUAGUUGCAUGCUAACGAGUUCACGUCUUGGAGCAACACUACGGAAAUCACACUUUAGCUAGCUUUGCACAAGGACAUCAAGACAAACAUAAACACACGCACCCAUCCUGCUCCUCACUUUCCCAAACCCAAGUUCCUUGUCUGCAACUUAUAAUCACACACACCAAAACAACACCCUCUCAUUUUACUCUGGUGCCACACAAGACCGAAGCCAGUUAAUCGGGCGGCUCCCGGUGGUCCUCUUCAACGAGCAGCCCCCCCUUUUUUUUUCUUUCGAGUGACAAAACGGAUCACCACCACCACCAUCAUCCGGUGGUGGUGCGGCGGCUACGAAACAGGAGAGAGAGACUGAGAAGAGAGAGAAUCAGAGACAGAGAAGCAGCGCCGCCGCUCACGACGGCGACAGUGGAGACGACGACGGUGAAUUGCUUCUUGUCGAUGGGUUUCCGGUAAGAGCCACUCCCCUGUUCUCUGCAUUUUUUUUUAAAAAAUGAUGGUGAAAGAUACUGUUUUUAUUGGUGUCGAGGAUGACGACAGCGGAGAACCGCCAGCGGCGGUGCUGGGCCGGCCGACGGAAGCACCUGUGAUGGUGGUUAUCUCUUGUUCCAGAUUCGGGUUUGUUUCAAGUCAUGGUUUGAGUUUGGUCCGGGUCACAGCCGUGGUUUGGAUUAGGCUCGGGUUGGGUUCGGCUCAGUCAACAACUCAACAUAUUCGGUCAAGUUUUGGAGCGGUUUGUUCGGGUCAGACUUGAGAAGGUUUGAGUUAGUUUAGUCACGAGUCGGUUUCGGUUCGAGAGCUUUGGUUCCACUUGGGUUCGGAUAUUAUUUUCGGGUUAGCUUCGGUUCUGUCAACCACAAGUCAGCAGUUCGAGUUACGGUACAUAUUUGGUUCAAUCAAAGCUGGCCAACGGCUCGGGUCAACGGGUCAGACCUGGUGCGGUUCGGGUUCAUGUCAGCGGGUUCGAGUAAGGCGGUCAACAAGGUCAGACGGUUCGGUCCAGUUGACUCGGUCAACUCAGUCGACGUAUCGGCACACGGAGAGCGGAAUGCUAUAGUUGCAUGCUAACGAGUUCACGUCUUGGAGCAACAUUACGGAAAUCACACUUUAGCUAGCUUUGCACAAGGACAUCAAGGUUGAAUUUUCAAAACUAUGGAACGGUUGGAAUAGGAGAACCCAUGGGAAUUCGAGUACUUAGCGGCGUUCUUUUUCUAGAAGUCUUAGCUUAUUUGCUUCCGCUGUGCAAUGAAGAUACCGGUCCAGUCACGCCAGCUCUGAUAUUUCGGGGUGUGACACGCUCAAAUUCCUGGCAAUGCACGAAGAAGUUGCAGGAUUACGGUUUUGAAUUUCUAAUCUCUCCUAUACUUGUCGAUUUUUAAGCUGCUUUUUGAAUUAUUAUCUCGUACAACACUCUUUGGCCAGAGACGUUGAUCUUAAAUAUCACCUCACACGUGAUUGUUUCACUAUGAAACUCGUCAAUGUUGUCAUGGUCUGCACCGCUUACCGACGUGCCAACUCAUUUUCCCAAAAUUCGAUAAAAUCAUUUCUGAUUAAAAUUAAUUUUGGUAAACGGCAUUGAGGUAAAACAUGAGUUAACCAACAUCGGAAAAUCAUUUUUGUAAAUACCUUUGUGUUUUUUUUAAAUUUAUCAUAGUUUGUUGAUUUUAGGGAGAGUAAAUCCAAAAACAUAGAAAAAUUUAAAAACACAAAAACAAUAGAAAAACAAAAAUGAGUUUCUUAGCGAGAAAAAGAGAAAAUGAUAGUACAUCAGUGGUCUGUCGAAACCUCUUCAAAUUGAACCUCAAAAUGAAAAACGAUAAGCAGCUCUAUAUAAGAUAUAUCGGUAGGCUCACAAUCAUUUUAAAGUGUGCAGGGUGAUAUAAAUCUUAAAUUGACUGAAGACCAGGUGGGAACCAUUCAUUGGCAUAUGGUCUUAGUACCGAAAUUUCGUUUGAGAGAUUGCCGAGGUUCUGAGAUAUUCGCUCUUUAUGCUGCUUAUCAUCUGGGUAUCAUGGUUGUAUCUUUUACCGAAAAAAAAACGGGGACGCAAGUCUAGAUCUUCCAUGAUACUAUACAUACGUGUACAUACUGCAUUCGACCUCAAUAAGUGAUCAACAAUCACAUGUCCAACAAAAUAAGUGAUAAUAUAUCACAUUUAUCCGGGAGUUAAGUUCAUCUCUCUGCUGUACGAAAGUACUGACCUGUUCACGGACUUGCUCCUAUGCCCUCAUGCAUAAUGAAAAUCAAGUUCCUCAUCAAUAAGUGAUUCUAUCACAUAGGGCUUGUUUUCAAACCGAAAAUAAGUGAGUUUCUCACAUUUUCAUAUACGUUAAAACAGAUGAUAAUCAGUAUACUCACCGGUAAGAUGAAUUCUCGUGCAUACCUUGAUACGGGAAUGUGUCGUGUGUGGAUGAACACCGGUCUGUAAGUAUAAAGCAUACCUUAAAGUAUCCCCUCGCCAUGAUUACAUCUGAUAAGUUGAGCUUAAAUGGACAACAAUACCGAUAAUCGCUAUAGGAUGCUUAUCUAAAUGUUAACUAAUUGAACAAAAAGAGCGUUUUGGCAUGACCGCACACUGAUAUGAUUCUCUUACCCUCGAAACUCGCAAAAAGAAUGUCUGUAAAUAUUUAUUUACUGCUUUCAGUUUCUGCGUCUUUGUAUAUAUUUAUUUAUUGUUUUCCGGCUUUACGUUUGAAAAAUGAAAAAUUCCAAAAAGAUUUUAGGUGUGUUUUAAUAUAAACUUUAUAAAAGCCAAAAAGAUUUUGCUUCUUGUUUAUUUUUGAUUGACCGAUGUUGGAACUCGAGUCUAUCCUACCCAAAAUCCUGAUCGAAAGUUAAAGGAUUAAAAUUGAUCAUUUUCUAAACUUUCAAACUGUUGUCGGUCGGUAGUUGAUUGUGAAAUGGUCACAUGUGUCGUUUGUUUAUGGAAACUAUAUUCCAAGCGGUUGUUCUCAUUAUGCGUUUAGAUUUCUUGCAUGUGCAGAUGCUAAAGGCGAGGAGAACAUGUUCGAUGACAAGCUUCAGAAUGAAGACACGACGUGAAGGCACUCAAAAGAUAGUGAUGAUAGAGUUGUCGCUGACCCUUCAUCAACACCACAAGAAUCUAAAGAAUUAAAGAUCAAAAGAUUCACGAGCAUAACUCAAUGGAGAGUUCAUUUUAAGGGGGAGUUUGUUAACACACUUCCUAAAUGAAAAGAGAGUUUGUUGAUACACUUUCUUCUUUCGACGCGUGAAGACUUUGAAGAUCCUCCGACAUGAAAGACACAGAAGACGAACCAUCACAGAAGACGAACCAUCACGAGUAGCGUCCAAGGGGGAGUUUGUUGAUACACUUUGUGUGGACGCGACUCGGCUCGGUUCGACUCGGCUCGGUUCGACUCGGCUCGGUUCGACUCGGCUCGGUUCGACUUGAUUUCGACUCGGUUAGGUCCGGCUCAAGCCCGACGUCACGACAUUCCUCCGUCGUGCGCCCCAGAGUUCGCCACGCGAAGCACGGAGCGCCGCGAACCAAGAACAGGUGACAUAUCACCAUGACAUCAUCACUGUGAUGUCAUGAUGAUGUCAUGUAGUGGAAAAUUCAUGAAAAUAUUCAUUUGCAUAUGGAUGUCGACGAAACUGAAUAUGUUUCGUCGACUAGGGUGUUUCGCCGAGGUCUAGCCCUGUUUCGUCGCCUGUUGGGCUUCUUCAGGCCCAAUGUUUGGCCCAAGUUUGCUUCGCCGAGUUAUGUUUGUGUUUCGUCAUAGUUUGUGUCUGUUUAGUAUAAAUAGCUCUUACAGUUUCUGUGUGAAACUUGGACAAGAGACGAGAGCUGUGACUUUGAGAGAGAGUCUGUAAACAUUGUUUGUAUAUGUUUAUAUCGUUCUCAUCCCUAAUCAAUAGAUAUUGAAUCGUUUGGUUA
Long non-coding RNA from Helianthus annuus (common sunflower), 5197 nucleotides. RefSeq lists it as uncharacterized. The transcript has 6 exons. The record is from RefSeq and is a predicted model, not a curated record. NCBI's taxonomy places the organism in Eukaryota, Viridiplantae, Streptophyta, Magnoliopsida, Asterales, Asteraceae.